CAACGGCGGAAGCGGCGCCACCCCGCCCUGACAGACGAGAGCCACGGUGGCGCUGCGAUAGACUUUAUUAGAUAGAGGGGUGUCUGACAGAUAGGGCACACCUUCAGCUUGAUGACACCAUCAUCUUCAUCCAUAUAAUGGUCAAGGCCUUGGGACUCAAAGACAUGGCCACAGUCUUCAAGCUGCACAAAUCGAACGUCUGGGUCUUCCUCAAAGCCAAAGAAGAUCUGGGGUAUUCAGUCGCUCAUGUUCCAGAGAUCCAAAGCCUAGCUCUGAUACAGCUCAGCACUGUAACCUUGGCUCAGACUUCUGGGGAAGUAGUUCAGUUGUGACAGACAGCUGUGAGCAAGUCUGCAGAACGGGGCUAUGCAAGCACUCUGGGUGAAGACAGUUACACCAAGGCCCAGCCACUCCAGCAUCAUCGAGUGUUGUGAAGCACUGUAGUAAAACUCAUCGUCAUCCUAAUAUAAGGAAAGUCAAAUCAGACAGUCCUAUUGCACUUCAGAG
Molecule: long non-coding RNA, 507 nt
Organism: Chroicocephalus ridibundus (black-headed gull)
Lineage: Eukaryota; Metazoa; Chordata; Aves; Charadriiformes; Laridae
Exons: 4
Source: RefSeq, a predicted model, not a curated record